Long non-coding RNA from Hippocampus comes (tiger tail seahorse), 1120 nucleotides. RefSeq lists it as uncharacterized. The record is from RefSeq and is a predicted model, not a curated record. The transcript is spliced from 2 exons. Lineage: Eukaryota; Metazoa; Chordata; Actinopteri; Syngnathiformes; Syngnathidae.
GUCCUCCCGCGAGCGCUGGAACCGUGUCACACAAGCAAGGGUACCUGCAAGAUCAAGAAAGCCAAAUUUCAGACUUACUAAGACCACUCUGAUCAAACAUUGAUGACUACUUUACAAUACAAUAGUGAACUCUUCGUCUUCCCCCCCAGCAAUAAAUGGAUCUUGCCAGAGAUAAUGUCAACGUCGGCGAUCCGGUUUCAGAAGAAAGUGGCACAGCCCAAGUUUCCUGGAAGUGAUAACGACCUCUCCCAACUCUGCGAGCGACGCCAGCAGGCACAUGUGAGGAGCACGUUGUCGGUCAUUGUCACAUUGGCGGUGGUCUUCGGUUUACGACGGUAUCGACAUAUGACGUUUUGAGGUUUCCAAGGGCAUGCGGUUUACAAGCCUGGCAGGAGAAGGGCCACACAGUGACUGCCGUGCCUCCUGUUUUUUUAUUUGAUUGCUUUAUAUCCAUGACUUAUGUUUUUCAUACACUUUUCAUUCUUCAACAGACUUUCGUUCCUUGAAACCAAGAAGGGGCCUUUGGUGCCAUCUUGUGGCAUUUUAGAGGGCACAGAAACUGCGAAAUACUGUACGCUAUAUUUUACAUAAAUGCCACAAUGACAUGGCAUUACAGUAGAAAACUGGUGGCGUUCCGCAAGGCUUGCUACCAAGUACAUUUUUUUUUUUUUUUUUUACACAAGUUACUGUUUUUUUUCUGACUUGGCUAUUGUGUUAGCAUCGUGCUUGUGAUAGACUACGGCGUUUUUUGACUAGCGUCUGGAUUCGGUUAGGUUGCGGGGUGCAUAAAACAGGAUAUGCACGUGGUGGGCAAUAAGUUCCCAUGCCCUCAUCAUUGGCAUGAAUGUUGAAAAAUUUGGGGUGUUUUUAAAUCAUGAUUUUGAGCCGCUCCCUUUUCAGACGGGAAUGAUAUUACACGUAUGCCCUAUUUAUUUGUAUAUUUAAUCAACACAGGAUGCAGCAAUACACCCACACACAAUAAUCACAAUACAUUUACCCAAAAGCUUUAUGCUGAAUGUUCUCAAAUGUUUUGUUUUUUUUUUUUGACAAGGCCAAGCCUGAUUAGCUUCUUGUCAGUGAUCAAGAUUAACUGCAGCUGCUGGUUGCUCUUCGCCAACAU